UACGUAGGCGGAAAUCUAAGUCAGUGGUGAAAUCCCGCAGCUCAACUGUGGAACUGUCAUUGAUACUGGUUUUCUUGAAUAUAGUUGGGGUAGGCGGAAUGUGUAAUGUAGCGGUGAAAUGCUUAGAUAUUACACAGAACACCGAUUGCGAAGGCAGCUUACUAAACUAUGAUUGACGCUGAGGUACGAAAGCGUGGGGAGCGAACAGGAUUAGAUACCCUGGUAGUCC
Molecule: ribosomal RNA, 229 nt
Filed under: uncultured bacterium
Lineage: Bacteria
Description: partial 16S ribosomal RNA
Rfam family: Bacterial small subunit ribosomal RNA
Source: RNAcentral